ACAAAAUUACAUAGAACAUUUACAUGUAUUAAGUUACUGAAAGUAAGCAUUUUGGCCAUAGAUACCUUUUGUGUACAUUUAAAUGGUCAUAUCACAUUUCAUAUCUCUGUAAGGCUGAUUAUAUUUCAUUGGAAUAAAGAAAGAAAAAAAAAUAUUGUUCAUUUUAUUUUGAAGAAAUUGCUGCCCUGACUGUUACUUCUUUCUUUCUGGCAGAUGGGGACGUGGUUUUGGUUUGGUCCAGUACUUUGUGGCCAAAGAUAGUCCUCUAAACCAGCCCAACAGUGUUCUUGGCAUCAUAUUUUACACUCUGCAGAUGGGCCUUGGACUGUCUGUGUCUAAAAAAGCAGCAGCUUUUUUGGUCUUCUCCUCCUGGGUCUCUGUGGCCGGUUCACUCUAUCUUGCAUCUAUUCUCGCAUUUGUUCUGGGAGACUUCUGCAUGGUCUGUGUCUCCACGUAUAUUGUCAACUUUGCAUUGCUCUACACCAACCUGAAACGGAGGAGAGCAGUUCAGGAAAUUAAGGAAAAAGCCAGAUAGAAAGUGUUGCCUGUGAAAUGUAACAAAUGUUCCCUUCCUGCCUUCCUGAAACCCCGCUGGAUUCAUCUCACAGUAUUUUGCCAGUGUUUACAUGAGUUUACAUUCAGUAUUUUCACAGAAAAACAACUGGAGAUUUAACUCUAAUAUCAGAAUAUCUAUAAGUUGGUUCUCAAUACAGAAACUUUGUUGUGCAGCAGCUACUUUUGUAUAUUGUUAUUAACUUGUAAUGAUUAAAACACAUUUUUGAAUUCUGA
Molecule: long non-coding RNA, 789 nt
Organism: Haplochromis burtoni (Burton's mouthbrooder)
Lineage: Eukaryota; Metazoa; Chordata; Actinopteri; Cichliformes; Cichlidae
Exons: 2
Source: RefSeq, a predicted model, not a curated record